GACGAACGCUGGCGGCGUGCUUAACACAUGCAAGUCGAACGGAAAGGCCCUGCUUUUGUGGUGUGCUCGAGUGGCGAACGGGUGAGUAACACGUGAGUAACCUGCCCUUGACUUUGGGAUAACUUCAGGAAACUGGGGCUAAUACCGGAUAGGAGCUCCUGCUGCAUGGUGUGGGUUGGAAAGUUUCGGCGGUUGGGGAUGGGCUCGCGGCUUAUCAGCUUGUUGGUGGGGUAGUGGCUUACCAAGGCUUUGACGGGUAGCCGGCCUGAGAGGGUGACCGGCCACAUUGGGACUGAGAUACGGCCCAGACUCCUACGGGAGGCAGCAGUGGGGAAUAUUGCACAAUGGGCGGAAGCCUGAUGCAGCAACGCCGCGUGCGGGAUGACGGCCUUCGGGUUGUAAACCGCUUUCGCCUGUGACGAAGCGUGAGUGACGGUAAUGGGUAAAGAAGCACCGGCUAACUACGUG
RNAcentral lists this ribosomal RNA (468 nucleotides) under uncultured bacterium. Its description in RNAcentral is "partial 16S ribosomal RNA". It matches the Rfam family "Bacterial small subunit ribosomal RNA", at positions 28 to 507 of the family's 1533-position model. The record is from RNAcentral.